GCUGGCACGUCGUAUCCCUCAAAGAACAUUUCCACACUGUCAGCAUACUCCCUUGGAAAUGAAAAAUUGUGUACUUACAUGCUUUGUGUACAGCGCUCUAAUGAUCGGUUGCAGCCGGGAGGAGUUGGUACAGGACAGCAUCACAGUAUAUCCUAGAGUUCUCGAGGACAGAGAAGGCAACUCCGAAAAAAUUCUCCUCAUACGUGAUGGUCAUUCUCUUAAAUUAACGAAAGCUUCAGUGCUGUCAGAGAGAGUGUCGCUGCAAUAUGGAACAAAUGAUGGCGUCAUCAACCGCUAUAUUGAUGGAAAGUAUUAUGAGAGACAUCUUUAUCAGGACUCUGAAAAACAGGCAGCAUUACUAGUGAGACCUCAAGUGGCAGGCGAUUACCAUAUUAGCGGACUGGUAAACGCUUCGCAUAUGAUUGAGCCGUUGACAACCUCAGAGAGAUCACUAUCCGGAGGAACCCCGCACAAGUUAUCAAGGUUAAACUUAUUGAAAAGAAGCCUUGACAUGACAAAAAGAACCCGAAGCCCAAGGCGGAAAAUACCCUGGUACCUAAAGAAAGAGCCCCCACUAAAGGUGCCGAAAAACUUCACCAUCGAGAUGGUGUUCAUCAGUGACUCUACCCACUCAGAGAUGUUCGACAAUGCAUCAGAGCAUAUUGAUUACGUAAUUGUGUUCAUGCUCGGGGCAAGUAUCAGCACAUAUUUCACAUUUUAUAAAACCUUGAUACAGUACUUUGCAUAUGCAUGAUCAGAUUGCAGCCAUGGCGCCCUACAUUGGCUCGUAUGCCACCUUUCCCUCGCUCCGAAUAAGCAGGCCCUAAGACAGGGACUUGAAGCAUUUUCUUUUUGUCUUAAUACACUUGGCGUAGUCCAAGGUACGACUCAAAAUUAGACUCUAGCGUUAAUGCUCACAAAAGAAAUUUCAGAAUGGUCAUCUCUCGAAAACAUGGUUCAUUAAAUUAUACUCAACGUGCACCUUAAGUCGUAAUUGAAAAUGGUCAUUAAAUUGGAUGAUCCGACAGAAAUGCACUUGUACAUUAACCUUUGGCAAGCAUCAAGUUAACCAAGCGUCUGAAGAAUGUCUGAAGGCUCCUUAACGACGGUUGUCACUACACG
Molecule: non-coding RNA, 1122 nt
Organism: Dermacentor albipictus
Lineage: Eukaryota; Metazoa; Arthropoda; Arachnida; Ixodida; Ixodidae
Source: RefSeq, a predicted model, not a curated record